AGAUGUGUAAGACAGAACUUUUUAUCAAGAACAGGGCGAGGCUUAUCCAUUGCACUCCGGAUGUGCUGACCCCUCAACUUCCCCAAACGUGGGAAACUCGACUGCAUAAUUUGUGGUAGUGGGGGACUACGUUCACGCUCUCCCCUG
RNAcentral lists this small nuclear RNA (147 nucleotides) under Echinops telfairi (small Madagascar hedgehog). RNAcentral's name for it is "U1 spliceosomal RNA (ENSETEG00000024067.1)". It matches the Rfam family "U1 spliceosomal RNA". From Rfam's summary of the family: U1 is a small nuclear RNA (snRNA) component of the spliceosome (involved in pre-mRNA splicing). Its 5' end forms complementary base pairs with the 5' splice junction, thus defining the 5' donor site of an intron. There are significant differences in sequence and secondary structure between metazoan and yeast U1 snRNAs, the latter being much longer (568 nucleotides as compared to 164 nucleotides in human). Lineage: Eukaryota; Metazoa; Chordata; Mammalia; Afrosoricida; Tenrecidae. The record is from RNAcentral.